Molecule: long non-coding RNA, 288 nt
Organism: Ostrinia nubilalis (European corn borer)
Lineage: Eukaryota; Metazoa; Arthropoda; Insecta; Lepidoptera; Crambidae
Exons: 2
Source: RefSeq, a predicted model, not a curated record
CAUUUUGUAUUCCAUUUUCAAGUCACUUUUUUUUCGCUUACUGUUUAAACAAAACGUGGGAUUUUUUUUAAAUCUCAGGUCUUUUGAACGCACAUCUGAACGAUGUCUGGUUUUAAUUUCUUCAGUUACUCCGUGACCAUGGCGCUUGCAACAGUGCCGAAAUAUUGGAAACUCAAAACUAAGCACAACGAAAAUCUGCUUUGGCGCGUAGCAAUGCAACGUGACAACUACAGUUCGGACUUCUUUAUGCGUCCACUACACAUAAAAUAAAAUUCGAACUAUCGCACA